AUAGCUACGUACCAUAAUUAUAAUUUAAUAAUAAUCAUAAAUAAAUAUUACAUGUACGCUCGAUAUUCAACGGCACUAGUAAAUAUCACAGACUCGUUAACCCAGAAACGGACAAAACUUACGCGACAUCACCCGGCUCGAGCGUAGCACGCUUUAAAUACGAAAUCCGAUCCAAAACAAACGCGAGCUCGAACAAACUUGUAGCUCGAACGCGUGUUAGCCACGUUGCGAAUCACCAGCAAUGAAAGCAGUCCUAUUUCGAGCCGUUUAUAAAUACGUAUUCGGUGUGGACGGUUACAACUAUGGCGAGAAGUAGAAUAAAAAGCCAGAGAAACACGAAAAAAUUCAACGGAACGAUGCAAAAGCAGGAAACGCGUGUCGAAAUGGAUCGACGCCAUAUGCAAACGCCAUGUACUUUCUAUUACAGAGCACGCGAUUCGAGGACUGGACCAUUCCACUUCCAAGCGACGACUGAUUGGUGGCGCCAUCUAACAAUCGAGUCUCAAACUUCGUAGCUAAACCCGUGUCACACGAGGCAACGUUUCCGGAUUCGUUACAACACGCGGAUCGAUUCGUUUUAUCUUUUUUUCGGAAGAUGUAGUGAGAAAUGAAAAAGUGUAUAUUGGCAUUUUAUUGCACGAUAUGUAAAAAUAAAUUAGGUUAUGAAGAAUUAACGAUACAUGUUAGAAUUAUAUCAAUAGAACUACUUAUACAAUUGUUCUUAUUUUAAUGCAUUUUCUAUUUAUCUUUAUUUACAUAAUUGGAUAAUCUUUAAUCGAAAAGCAAAAAAUGAAUAAGGAUGUAAUUAAAAUGAAUACUACUGGACCCCUCUCUAUUGGAUCGAUGGAAUUUUUUCACGGAAAGUGGAGAUUUCUUACUUCGAGAAUUCAGGUCAAGUAAGAUGAUACAAAGAAG
Apis mellifera (honey bee) is the source of this 915-nucleotide long non-coding RNA. RefSeq lists it as uncharacterized. The transcript has 3 exons. The record is from RefSeq and is a predicted model, not a curated record. NCBI's taxonomy places the organism in Eukaryota, Metazoa, Arthropoda, Insecta, Hymenoptera, Apidae.